Molecule: ribosomal RNA, 578 nt
Filed under: uncultured bacterium
Lineage: Bacteria
Description: bacterial SSU rRNA
Rfam family: Bacterial small subunit ribosomal RNA
Source: RNAcentral
AAGGGAGAGUAACGGGUGGUUACUUACCCUCAGGACCGGAAUAGUGUCGGGAAACUGACAGUAAUGCCGGAUAAUAUCUUUGGAUCAAAGGUGUGAUUCCGCCUGGGGAUAGGACCGCUUUCUAUUAGCUUGUUGGCGGGGUAAUGGCCCACCAAGGCUGAGAUGGAUACCGGGUGUGAGAGCAUGGCCCGGCUCACUGGGACUGAGACACUGCCCAGACACCUACGGGUGGCUGCAGUCGAGAAUCUUCGGCAAUGGGCGAAAGCCUGACCGAGCGACGCCGCGUGCGGGAUGAAGGCCUUCGGGUUGUAAACCGCUGUCAGUUGGGAGGAAGGUGCUGUGAAGAGCAGCAUUUGACCGAUCUUCAGAGGAAGGACGGGCUAAGUUCGUGCCAGCAGCCGCGGUAAGACGAACCGUCCGAACGUUAUUCGGUAUCACUGGGCUUAAAGAGUUCGUAGGCGGCCUAGUAGGUGAGGUGUGAAAUCCAACGGCUCAACCGUUGAAUUGCGCUUCAAACCGCUAGGCUCGAGGAUGGCAGGGGUGUUGGGAACAGAUGGUGGAGCGGUGAAAUGCGUUGA